RNAcentral lists this ribosomal RNA (389 nucleotides) under Dinophyceae sp. RNAcentral describes it as "partial small subunit ribosomal RNA". It matches the Rfam family "Eukaryotic small subunit ribosomal RNA", at positions 582 to 975 of the family's 1831-position model. The record is from RNAcentral. Lineage: Eukaryota; Dinophyceae.
AUUCCAGCUCCAAUAGCGUAUAUUAAAGUUGUUGCGGUUAAAAAGCUCGUAGUUGGAUUUCUGCCGAGGAUGACCGGUCCGCCCUGUGGGUGUGCAUCUGGCUCAGCCUUGGCAUCUUCCUGAAGAACGUAGCUGCACUUGACUGUGUGGUGCGGUAUUUAGGACAUUUACUUUGAGGAAAUUAGAGUGUUUCAAGCAAGCGCACGCUUUGAAUACAUUAGCAUGGAAUAAUAAGAUAGGACCUCGGUUCUAUUUUGUUGGUUUCUAGAGCUGAGGUAAUGAUUAAUAGGGACAGUCGGGGGCAUUUGUAUUCAAACGACAGAGGUGAAAUUCUUGGACCGUUUGAAGACAAACUACUGCGAGAGCAUUUGCCAAGAAUGUUUUCAUCG